RNAcentral lists this transfer RNA (77 nucleotides) under Gammaproteobacteria bacterium. Its description in RNAcentral is "tRNA-Arg". It matches the Rfam family "tRNA". Rfam says of the family: Transfer RNA (tRNA) molecules are approximately 80 nucleotides in length. Their secondary structure includes four short double-helical elements and three loops (D, anti-codon, and T loops). Further hydrogen bonds mediate the characteristic L-shaped molecular structure. tRNAs have two regions of fundamental functional importance: the anti-codon, which is responsible for specific mRNA codon recognition, and the 3' end, to which the tRNAs corresponding amino acid is attached (by aminoacyl-tRNA synthetases). tRNAs cope with the degeneracy of the genetic code in two manners: having more than one tRNA (with a specific anti-codon) for a particular amino acid; and 'wobble' base-pairing, i.e. permitting non-standard base-pairing at the 3rd anti-codon position. The record is from RNAcentral. Lineage: Bacteria; Pseudomonadati; Pseudomonadota; Gammaproteobacteria.
GCGCCCGUAGCUCAGUUGGAUAGAGUAUUGGCCUCCGAAGCCAAAGGUCGCUGGUUCAAAUCCAGUCGGGCGCGCCA